GAUGAACGCUAGCGGCAGGCUUAACACAUGCAAGUCGAGGGGCAGCACGGGUAGCAAUACCUGGUGGCGACCGGCAAACGGGUGCGGAACACGUACGCAACAUACCUUUUACUGGGGCAUAGCCUUCUGAAAAGAAGAUUAACACCCCAUAAUAUCAAUGACUGGCAUCAGUUGAUGAUUAAAAAUUUAAUUGGUAAGAGAUUGGCGUGCGUCCUAUUAGCUAGNGGUUAUGGGUAAGUGGCCUACCAAGGCGACGAUAGGUAGCUGGUGUGAGAGCACGACCAGCCACACGGGCACUGAGACACGGGCCCGACUCCUACGGGAGGCAGCAGUGAGGAAUAUUGGUCAAUGGACGAGAGU
RNAcentral lists this ribosomal RNA (360 nucleotides) under uncultured bacterium. RNAcentral describes it as "bacterial SSU rRNA". It matches the Rfam family "Bacterial small subunit ribosomal RNA", at positions 28 to 382 of the family's 1533-position model. The record is from RNAcentral.